AACGAACGCUGGCGGCGUGCCUAACACAUGCAAGUCGUGCGAGAAAGUUCCUUCGGGAGCGAGUAAAGCGGCGCACGGGUGAGUAACACGUAGGUAACCUGCCCCCCAGUCUGGAACAACUAGAGGAAACUCUAGCUAAUGCCGGAUGAGACCACGAUCCCUUCGGGGGUUGCGGCCAAAUAUGGCCUCUACUUGUAAGCUAUCGCUGAAGGAUGGGCCUGCGGCUAUUAGCUUGUUGGUGAGGUAACGGCUCACCAAGGCUGUGAUGGCUAGCUGGUCUGAGAGGAUGACCAGCCACACUGGGACUGAGACACGGCCCAGACUCCUACGGAGGCAGCAGUGGGGAAUAUUGCGCAAUGGGCGAAAGCCUGACGCAGCGACGCCGCGUGGGUGAUGAAGGCCUGGUCGUAAG
Molecule: ribosomal RNA, 412 nt
Filed under: uncultured bacterium
Lineage: Bacteria
Description: bacterial SSU rRNA
Rfam family: Bacterial small subunit ribosomal RNA
Source: RNAcentral